GCCCCGGUGGCAAAAUGGUUAAGUACUCUGCUGCUGACUGAAAUGUUGGUGGUUCGAACCCACCCAGUUGCU
This 72-nucleotide transfer RNA is filed under the name Loxodonta africana (African savanna elephant). It matches the Rfam family "tRNA". Rfam says of the family: Transfer RNA (tRNA) molecules are approximately 80 nucleotides in length. The record is from Rfam by way of RNAcentral. Lineage: Eukaryota; Metazoa; Chordata; Mammalia; Proboscidea; Elephantidae.